RNAcentral lists this ribosomal RNA (264 nucleotides) under uncultured bacterium. RNAcentral's name for it is "partial 16S ribosomal RNA". It matches the Rfam family "Bacterial small subunit ribosomal RNA", at positions 793 to 1055 of the family's 1533-position model. The record is from RNAcentral.
GUCCACGCCCUAAACGAUGGCGACUAGUUGUUGGGGAUUAACAUCCUUAGUAACGCAGCUAACGCGUGAAGUCGCCCGCCUGGGGGAGUACGGUCGCAAGAUUAAAACUCAAAGGAAUUGACGGGGGCCCGCACAAGCGGUGGAUGAUGUGGUUUAAUUCGAUGCAACGCGAAAACCUUACCUGCCCUUGACAUGUCCGGAAUUCCGCAGAGAUGUGGAAGUGCCCGAAAGGGAGCCGGAACACAGGUGCUGCAUGGCUGUCGU